GAUGAACGCUAGCGGCAGGCUUAACACAUGCAAGUCGAGGGGUAACAGGGAAGCUUGCUUCCGCUGACGACCGGCGCACGGGUGCGUAACGCGUAUAGAACCUACCUUUUACAGAGGGAUAGCCUUUAGAAAUGAAGAUUAAUACCUCAUAGUAUUAUAGAUUCGCAUGAAUUUAUACUUAAAGAUUUAUCGGUAAAAGAUGGCUAUGCGUCCUAUUAGCUAGAUGGUAAGGUAACGGCUUACCAUGGCGACGAUAGGUAGGGGUCCGUGAGAGGGAGAUCCCCACCACUGGUACUGAGACACGGACCAGACUCCUACGGGAGGCAGCAGUGAGGAAUAUUGGGCAAUGGAGGCAACUCUGACCCAGCCAUGCCGCGUGCAGGAAGACGGCCCUAUGGGUUGUAAACUGCUUUUAUACAGGAAGAAACACUCGUACGUGUACGAGCUUGACGGUACUGUAAGAAUAAGGACCGGCUAACUCCGUG
Molecule: ribosomal RNA, 485 nt
Filed under: uncultured Polaribacter sp.
Lineage: Bacteria; Pseudomonadati; Bacteroidota; Flavobacteriia; Flavobacteriales; Flavobacteriaceae
Description: bacterial SSU rRNA
Rfam family: Bacterial small subunit ribosomal RNA
Source: RNAcentral